CCGGACCUGACUGCUAUCGGAUUGGUACUAAGCCAUGCGAGUCAUUGUAGCAAUACAAGGCGGACGGCUCAGUAACACGUAGUCAACCUAACCUAUGGACGUGGAUAACCUCGGGAAACUGAGAAUAAACCGCGAUAGAUCAUUAUGCCUGGAAUGGCUUAUGGUUCAAACAAUUUAUUGCCGUAGGAUGGGACUGCGGCCUAUCAGCUUGUUGGUGAGGUAAUGGCCCACCAAGGCUAUAACAGGUACGGGCUCUGAGAGGAGAAGCCCGGAGAUGGGUACUGAGACACGGACCCAGGCCCUAUGGGGCGCAGCAGGCGAGAAACCUUAGCAAUGUGCGAAAGCACGACUAGGUUAAUCCGAGUGAUUCCUGUUGAAGGAAUCUUUUGUCAGUCGUAAAACCACAGACGAAUAAGGGGUGGGCAAGUCUGGUGUCAGCCGCCGCGGUAAUACCAGCACCCCGAGUGGUCAGGAGGUUUAUUGGGCCUAAAGCAUCCGUAGCCGGCUUUGCAAGUCUCCGGUUAAAUCCAGCUGCUCAACAGAUGGGCUGCCGGAGAUACUACACAGCUAGGGAGCGGGAGAGGCAGACGGUAUUCUGUGGGUAGGGGUAAAAUCCAUUGAUCCAUAGAGGACCACCAGUGGCGAAGGCGGUCUGCCAGAACGCGUUCGACGGUGAGGGAUGAAAGCUGGGGGAGCAAACCGGAUUAGAUACCCGGGUAGUCCCAGCUGUAAGCGAUGCAAACUCGGUGAUGCAUUGGCUUAUGGCCAAUGCAGUGCCGCAGGAAGCCGUUAAGUUUGCCGCCUGGGAGUACGGACGCAAGUCUGAACUUAAAGGAAUUGGCGGGG
Molecule: ribosomal RNA, 846 nt
Filed under: uncultured archaeon
Lineage: Archaea
Description: bacterial SSU rRNA
Rfam family: Archaeal small subunit ribosomal RNA
Source: RNAcentral